This 425-nucleotide ribosomal RNA is filed under the name uncultured bacterium. Its description in RNAcentral is "partial 16S ribosomal RNA". It matches the Rfam family "Bacterial small subunit ribosomal RNA", at positions 354 to 796 of the family's 1533-position model. The record is from RNAcentral.
GUGGGGAAUAUUGGGCAAUGGGCGAAAGCCUGACCCAGCAACGCCGCGUGAAGGAAGAAGGUCUUCGGAUCGUAAACUUCUAUCCUUGGUGAAGAUAAUGACGGUAGCCGAGAAGGAAGCCCCGGCUAACUACGUGCCAGCAGCCGCGGUAAUACGUAGGGGGCAAGCGUUGUCCGGAAUGAUUGGGCGUAAAGGGCGCGUAGGCGGCCUGGUAAGUCUGGAGUGAAAGUCCUGCUUUUAAGGUGGGAAUUGCUUUGGAUACUGUCGGGCUUGAGUGCAGGAGAGGUAAGCGGAAUUCCCGGUGUAGCGGUGAAAUGCGUAGAGAUCGGGAGGAACACCAGUGGCGAAGGCGGCUUACUGGACUGUAACUGACGCUGAGGCGCGAAAGUGUGGGGAGCAAACAGGAUUAGAAACCCUAGUAGUCC